RNAcentral lists this transfer RNA (85 nucleotides) under Felis catus (domestic cat). It matches the Rfam family "tRNA". Rfam says of the family: Transfer RNA (tRNA) molecules are approximately 80 nucleotides in length. Their secondary structure includes four short double-helical elements and three loops (D, anti-codon, and T loops). The record is from Rfam by way of RNAcentral. Lineage: Eukaryota; Metazoa; Chordata; Mammalia; Carnivora; Felidae.
GCCUGGGUGGCUCAGCCGGUUAAGCAUCUGACUUCGACUCAGGUCAGGAUCUCAAGGUUUGUGAGUUCGAACUUUGCCUCGGGCU